This 450-nucleotide ribosomal RNA is filed under the name uncultured bacterium. RNAcentral's name for it is "partial 16S ribosomal RNA". It matches the Rfam family "Bacterial small subunit ribosomal RNA", at positions 354 to 796 of the family's 1533-position model. The record is from RNAcentral.
GUGGGGAAUUUUGGACAAUGGGCGCAAGCCUGAUCCAGCAAUGCCGCGUGCAGGAAGAAGGCCUUCGGGCUGUAAACUGCUUUUGUACGGAACGAAACGGUCCGGGUUAAUACCCUGGGCUAAUGACGGUACCGUAAGAAUAAGCACCGGCUAACUACGUGCCAGCAGCCGCGGUAAUACGUAGGGUGCAAGCGUUAAUCGGAAUUACUGGGCGUAAAGCGUGCGCAGGCGGUUUUGUAAGACAGGCGUGAAAUCCCCGGGCUCAACCUGGGAAUUGCGCUUGUGACUGCAAGGCUGGAGUGCGGCAGAGGGGGAUGGAAUUCCGCGUGUAGCAGUGAAAUGCGUAGAUAUGCGGAGGAACACCGAUGGCGAAGGCAAUCCCCUGGGCCUGCACUGACGCUCAUGCACGAAAGCGUGGGGAGCAAACAGGAUUAGAAACCCGUGUAGUCC